UACGGGGGGGGCAAGCGUUGUUCGGAAUUACUGGGCGGAAAGGGCUCGUAGGUGGCCAACUAAGUCAGACGUGAAAUCCCUCGGCUUAACCGGGGAACUGCGUCUGAUACUGGGAGGCUUGAGUAUGGGAGAGGGAUGUAGAAUUCCAGGUGUAGCGGUGAAAUGCGUAGAUAUCUGGAGGAAUACCGGUGGCGAAGGCGGCAUCCUGGACCAUAACUGACGCUGAGGCGCGAAAGCUAGGGGAGCAAACGGG
This 253-nucleotide ribosomal RNA is filed under the name uncultured bacterium. RNAcentral describes it as "partial 16S ribosomal RNA". It matches the Rfam family "Bacterial small subunit ribosomal RNA", at positions 524 to 776 of the family's 1533-position model. The record is from RNAcentral.